AGUCGAACGUGAAAGCACUUCGGUGUGAGUAGAGUAGCGGACGGGUGAGUAACGCGUGGGAAUCUACCCAGUAGUGGGGGACAACUACCGGAAACGGUAGCUAAUACCGCAUACGCCCUAUGGGGGAAAGGCUUCGGCCGCUAUUGGAUGAGCCCGCGUCAGAUUAGCUAGUUGGUAGGGUAAAGGCCUACCAAGGCAACGAUCUGUAGCUGGUCUGAGAGGACGAACAGCCACACUGGGGCUGAGACACGGCCCAGACUCCUACGGGAGGCAGCAGUGGGGAAUAUUGGACAAUGGGCGAAAGCCUGAUCCAGCAAUGCCGCGUGUGUGAAGAAGGCCUGCGGGUUGUAAAGCACUUUCAGUUGGGAAGAUGAUGACGUUACCAACAGAAGAAGCACCGGCUAAAUCCGUGCCAGCAGCCGCGGUAAUACGGAUGGUGCGAGCGUUAAUCGGAAUUACUGGGCGUAAAGCGCGCGUAGGCGGCUAAGUCAGUCAGAAGUGAAAGCCCCGGGCUCAACCUGGGAAUUGCUUUUGAUACUGCUUAGCUAGAGUUUGGUAGAGGAUAGUGGAAUUUCAGGUGUAGCGGUGAAAUGCGUAGAUAUCUGAAGGAACAUCAGUGGCGAAGGCGACUGUCUGGACCAAAACUGACGCUGAGGUGCGAAAGCGUGGGUAGCAAACAGGAUUAGAUACCCUGGUA
Molecule: ribosomal RNA, 697 nt
Filed under: uncultured Gammaproteobacteria bacterium
Lineage: Bacteria; Pseudomonadati; Pseudomonadota; Gammaproteobacteria
Description: bacterial SSU rRNA
Rfam family: Bacterial small subunit ribosomal RNA
Source: RNAcentral